This 253-nucleotide ribosomal RNA is filed under the name uncultured bacterium. Its description in RNAcentral is "partial 16S ribosomal RNA". It matches the Rfam family "Bacterial small subunit ribosomal RNA", at positions 524 to 776 of the family's 1533-position model. The record is from RNAcentral.
UACGUAGGUGGCGAGCGUUGUCCGGAUUUACUGGGCGUAAAGGGGGCGUAGGCGGACUUUUAAGUGAGAUGUGAAAUACUCGGGCUCAACUUGAGUGCUGCAUUUCAAACUGGAAGUCUAGAGUGCAGGAGAGGAGAAUGGAAUUCCUAGUGUAGCGGUGAAAUGCGUAGAGAUUAGGAAGAACACCAGUGGCGAAGGCGAUUCUCUGGACUGUAACUGACGCUGAGGCACGAAAGCGUGGGGAGCAAAUAGG